GAUGAAGAACGUAGCGAAAUGCGAUAAGUAGUGUGAAUUGCAGAAUUCAGUGAAUCAUCGAAUCUUUGAACGCACAUUGCGCCCCUUAGUAUCCCGAGGGGCAUGCCUGUUCGAGCGUCAUUUCACCACUCAAGCCUGGCUUGGUGUUGGGCGACGUCCCCUUUGGGGACGCGCCUCGAAACGCUCGGCGGCGUGGCACCGGCUUUAAGCGUAGCAGAAUCUUUCGCUUUGGAAGUCGGGGCCCCGUCUGCCGGAAGACCUACUCGCAAGGUUGACCUCGGAUCAGGCAGGGAUACCCGCUGAACUUAAGCAUAUCAAUAAGCGGAGGA
RNAcentral lists this unclassified non-coding RNA (329 nucleotides) under soil metagenome. RNAcentral's name for it is "partial contains 5.8S ribosomal RNA, internal transcribed spacer 2, and large subunit ribosomal RNA". The stretch from base 1 to 120 matches the Rfam family "5.8S ribosomal RNA", at positions 35 to 154 of the family's 154-position model. The record is from RNAcentral.